AUCCUGGCUCAGAUUGAACGCUGGCGGCAGGCCUAACACAUGCAAGUCGAGCGGUAGAGAGGUGCUUGCACCUCUUGAGAGCGGCGGACGGGUGAGUAAAGCCUAGGAWUCUGCCUGGUAGUGGGGGAUAACGCUCGGAAACGGACGCUAAUACCGCAUACGUCCUACGGGAGAAAGCAGGGGACCUUCGGGCCUUGCGCUAUCAGAUGAGCCUAGGUCGGAUUAGCUAGUUGGUGAGGUAAUGGCUCACCAAGGCGACGAUCCGUAACUGGUCUGAGAGGAUGAUCAGUCACACUGGAACUGAGACACGGUCCAGACUCCUACGGGAGGCAGCAGUGGGGAAUAUUGGACAAUGGGCGAAAGCCUGAUCCAGCCAUGCCGCGUGUGUGAAGAAGGUCUUCGGAUUGUAAAGCACUUUAAANUGGGAGGAAGGGCAUUAACCUAAUACGUUAGUGUUUUGNCGUUCCGNCAAUAGCGGCU
Molecule: ribosomal RNA, 480 nt
Filed under: Pseudomonas fluorescens
Lineage: Bacteria; Pseudomonadati; Pseudomonadota; Gammaproteobacteria; Pseudomonadales; Pseudomonadaceae
Description: bacterial SSU rRNA
Rfam family: Bacterial small subunit ribosomal RNA
Source: RNAcentral